RNAcentral lists this ribosomal RNA (318 nucleotides) under uncultured bacterium. RNAcentral's name for it is "bacterial SSU rRNA". It matches the Rfam family "Bacterial small subunit ribosomal RNA", at positions 37 to 334 of the family's 1533-position model. The record is from RNAcentral.
GAUAACGCGUGGCGGCGCACAUAAGACAUGCAAGUCGAACGGACGUUAACCAUUAGUUUAACGUAUUGGAGCGGUUAGUGGCGGACUGGUGAGUAACACGUAAGCAACCUGCCUAUCAGAGGGGAACAACAGUUAGAAAUGACUGCUAAUACCGCAUAUGCCUUAAUUAUCACAUGAUAAUAGAGGGAAAGGAGCAAUCCGCUGAUAGAUGGGCUUGCGUCUGAUUAGAUAGUUGGUAAGGUAACGGCUUACCAAGUCGACGAUCAGUAGCCGGACUGAGAGGUUGAACGGCCACAUUGGGACUGAGAUACGGCCCAG